RNAcentral lists this transfer RNA (76 nucleotides) under Syntrophaceticus schinkii. RNAcentral's name for it is "tRNA-Lys". It matches the Rfam family "tRNA". From Rfam's summary of the family: Transfer RNA (tRNA) molecules are approximately 80 nucleotides in length. RNAcentral also lists the same sequence under 2 other names. Lineage: Bacteria; Bacillati; Bacillota; Clostridia; Thermoanaerobacterales; Thermoanaerobacterales Family III. Incertae Sedis. The record is from RNAcentral.
GGGCCAUUAGCUCAGUUGGUAGAGCACCUGACUUUUAAUCAGGGUGUCGCAGGUUCGAUUCCUGCAUGGCUCACCA